Molecule: long non-coding RNA, 553 nt
Organism: Lingula anatina
Lineage: Eukaryota; Metazoa; Brachiopoda; Lingulata; Lingulida; Lingulidae
Source: RefSeq, a predicted model, not a curated record
UCUGUACAACAUGGUGGCUUCAAGGCAACAGCUGGCUGCAUGGACAUGGCUUUUUACAGGGAACAGACAGUUAAAGACCAGCAAGAACAUUCCUGUAGUCUUCACCUCAUUCAUUGAUAUGUAAAACGUGGGAUGUGGCAAGUUAUGGGACAAUACAAGUGGGAUUUACACAGCCAGAGAUGGGACGGCAAUCUUGAGGAUGGAGGUCCAACAUGAUUUGAUAGUCUUCUUAGCAGAGGAGGAAGUUACAUACAGAGAAUUCUGGAGAUUUUCAAGAGUGGAUGCAGCUGGCAGAAGAAAGGGAUUAGAUUUAUCAAAUAUUUUGACUUUCAUCAUUGGACUGAUGGACAUGCAGCUUCUGGGGUUAUGGCACCAACUGGUAGUCGCAUUUUCUGUUACUACGGAAUUCUUUUUGCAUGCCCACAGAAAGUACUGGUUUUGUGUGCACGUGCAUUCGAGCUUAUGAUUACCUUUACUAAAAGGGGAAAAGCACCUCAAAAACAACUAUUUGAUUUGUAGGACUUCCAUGUAGCUUUUCUAUCACUACACAUAU